This 37902-nucleotide long non-coding RNA is filed under the name Theobroma cacao (cacao). RNAcentral's name for it is "long non-coding RNA (TCAC_LNC004316)". The record is from RNAcentral. Lineage: Eukaryota; Viridiplantae; Streptophyta; Magnoliopsida; Malvales; Malvaceae.
UUACUUUUAAAUUGAUUAAAAAUGAUCAAAAGUUAUGAAAUAAACUAAAAAGUACACUCAUUCAAAAAAGAAUAGUAAAUUUAAUCCAUCAUUUUUUUAAAAGGUGAAUUUUUAUUAACCUCAACACUAUCAUGCCAUUUUGAGUCUCAAACAUAGAUUGCAAGAGACUCUCACGGCAUAAAUAGUUAGUGAGCAGCCUGUACAAUUUCCAAAAAGAAUAUGCUACUCAACAAGAUUUUGGUAGCAACUCAGGAUAAAGAAACUAACGUACCUUAAGUAGAUUGGUAAAUUUGAACCUAAUCUCAAAUUAUUCUAUGAAGUUUGUUUGUGAAAAUAUGGCAGCUAGCACAUACCCAAAUUAAAGUUGUAAAUAACAUAUACAUGUUCUAUAAUCAUGUUUUCCAACUAAUUGAUUUACAUAUUGUUUUGUAACUUUUUUUUUUGAAACAGGAAUUCUUUUACUAAGAACUUUUUUGGGAAUAAUUUGCUUGAUUGUGUUGGUUAGACAAAAAUUGAAAAGGAGGCAUUUGUCUGUGGAUGACGAUAUUGAGAAUUUUCUUCAGAGUCAAAACAAUUUAAUGCCUAUCAGAUAUUCUUACUCUGAAAUAAAAAGAAUGACUGAUGGCUUCAAGAAUAAACUAGGUCAAGGAGGAUAUGGUUCUGUGUUUAAAGGAAAACUUCGAAGUGGUCAACUUGUUGCGAUAAAAUUGUUAAACAACUCAAAAGCUAACGGCCAAGAUUUCAUCAAUGAAGUUGCAACUAUUGGAAGGAUUCAUCAUGUUAAUGUGGUAAGACUUAUUGGAUUUUGCGUGAAGGGAUCAAAACAAGCUCUUGUAUAUGACUUCAUGAAGAAUGGGUCCUUGGAUAAAAUUAUAUUUUCAGCUGAAAAUAACACUUUGAGUUGGCAAAAAAUGUUUGAGAUUGCUUUGGGAGUGGCUCGAGGUAUUGAAUAUUUGCAUAGAGGUUGUGAAAUGCAAAUUUUACAUUUUGAUAUCAAGCCACAUAACAUUCUUCUAGAUGAGAACUUUACUCCAAAAGUUUCAGAUUUUGGCCUCGCAAAGUUGUAUUCAGUGGAUAAUGAUAUUAUUUCUCUCACAGCAGCACGAGGUACAGUAGGAUAUAUGGCUCCUGAAUUGUUUUAUAAAAAUCUCGGAGGUAUCUCAUAUAAAGCCGAUGUUUAUAGUUUUGGAAUGAUGCUAAUGGAAAUUACUGGAAGAAGAAAAAAAUUUGAAUGCCUCUGCUGAACAAUCAAGUCAAAUUUAUUUUCCAUCAUGGAUUUAUGAUCGAUUAGAUGAAGGAGAUAUCAUGGAGCUUGGAGAUUUGACAGAAAAUGAAAACAAAAUUAUGAGGAAAAUGGUAAUAGUAGCCUUAUGGUGCAUACAGAUGAAGCCCACUGAUCGUCCUUCCAUGAGCAAAGUCUUGAAUAUGCUUGAAAGUGAAGUUGAGCUCCUUGAAAUGCCUCCCAAGCCUUCUUUCUCUGGAAAUGUCAACUAAAUAUAGUAAGAAUUCUCCCCGCACACGUGGCAAUCGGCCUUCCUCAGUUAUCUCGUGAUAUUUGUCAUUGGGACACCACUCAACAUUGUGAUCUUGCUAAAUCUGACAACUUCUUCUGUAUUUAGUUUUUUGAAUGGUACGUAGUUUUUGUUUCCACCUAGAUCUAGUAGGCAGUGUUUGUAUUUUCUCUACUACCUUGGUUUGUUUUGUUUCUGCUACUUCUCUAUUGCCCUGUAUGUGACCUCUGAUGGAAUAAAUCAUUUCCUCACUUGUAAAAAAAUUGCAAGAAAAUGUAAUUUUAUUUUUCCCUUAUUUUAUACUGUCAUCCCAAACUCGCAGCACAACAGACGCCACAUACCUGUAAGAUGUAAUCUUACAAACAUGCAAGGGUCCAAUACAUAUACCUUAAAACACUAACUGAAAGACACUAAAAUACCUGAAGAACAAAGUGAUUCAUAAUCGGUAGAAAUUCAAAAAUCAUAAUUCGACAAUAUUCAGAAUUAAGUCUCUAAAACUAUAAAGUUAACAUGUCAAGAUAAAACUCUGAAUACUAAUUUAAGAUAGUUUGAUGUUCAUAAUAUUUAAAUAAAUCCUAGACAACCUAAAUGCUAUUAGAUUAAAACAUCACUCCUUGAAAUUCUCACGUAGUUGACCAAAUCACAACCUAAAAAAAAAAUUGAAAGAAUGAGUGAGUCCAACUACUCGGUAAGUAACAAAUAUCUCACUUCGUACUACAAAAGCCCUCAAAUAUAUGACCAAAAAUGUUAUCGGAAUAUGGAGUUCCAAUGACCCAAAUUUGGAUUGUCAAAACAGUUGAAAACCAAGUUUCUAAUUAAUUUUAAAAAUUCAUAUUUUCUAAACCACAAAACUAAACUAGAUGCUACAAAAACCAUUGGAAAGAUCUUUUCAAGACCUUUCCAUUGGUAACCAUCAUGCCACCGAAAGGUCACCAGAAUAGUGCCGAAUUUGAAUAAAAGUUAAGAAAACAUAAAUAAUUUAGGGCUUUUGUGCCCAACUAUGGAAAUACAACCCUAAACAUACCUUAAUCAGAAAUCCCUUGAAUACUUUUCUCUUUUUUCUAUCUUUCUUCUUCUAUGGUGUUAAGCUUUUCUGACUACCUAUCGUUUGAGUCUGAUGAAAUAAACUGACAUGAGUUUUCUACCUUUUCUUUUAAACUUGUAAACUAACCUAACCUCCACUAUUUUUUUUUUAAACGUGGUUUAGUGAGUUGUGAUCAGGUAAAACAAAUUGACCUUAACCGCACUAACUUAAACAUGAUAAACAAAACUGACAUUAAUUAAACUUCUUUAUUUACUUAAAGACCCCUUUUUCUAUUUUUUAAUUAUUAAGACACUCAAGGUUGUAACUGUAAUUAAAUAAAAUACUAAAACAACAUUUAUUUAUUUAUUUUAUAAAACUAUAGCCUAAUAAAUCUAAAUGUUUUUAUAAUAUAUACUUUGUGAGGGGUAUUACAUCCUUCCCUCCUUAAAAAGGAGUUUAGUUCCUUAAACUCUUACCUUGGUCCUCAAAAAGGCAGGGAUACUUCUUUUUUAUAUUUUUUCUAAAUCCCAAGUCGCUCCUCAUUCUGUAUGAUUACUUCAUUAGAUCUUAACAUAAGGAAUAGUUCGCCUUCUUAGAACUUGCUUCUUUCUAUCCACAACACACAUAGGAUGCUCAUCAUAAGACAAAUCUUCUCUAAGUAUCAAAGGAGCUAACCACACCACAUGACUAGGAUCUGGAACAUAUUUUCUCAACAAAGAAACAUGAAACAUGUUAUGCGCUCUCGAUAAAGCAGGUGGAAGUGCCAACCUAUAAGCCACAUCACCAACCUUAUCCAAAAUCUCAAACGAACCCAUAUAACAAGAACUAAGUUUUCCUCGAAUCCUAAAUUGCAUUACUCCUCUAGUAGGUGAAACUAGCAAAAAGACAUGAUCUCCAACCUCAAAUUCUAUCUUCCUUGUUUUAUUGUUUGCAUAACUCUUCUAUCUACUUUGAGCCGUACGAAGAUGUUCUCUAACUAACUGAACCUUCUCAACUGCUUGUUGAAUAAGAUCUAGACCCAAUAAUUGUCUUUCACCCACAUCAUCCCAACAAAGAGGUGACCUGCACUUCUUACCAUACAAAGCUUUGAAUGAAGCCAUUUGAAUACUAGACUGAUAGCUAUUAUUAUAAGCAAAUUCCGUCCAUGACAAGUGUCGAUCCCAAAAACCUCCAAAAUCCAUGACACAAGCUCUCAACAUGUCCUUAAGAAUUUGAUUAAUUGUCUCGGACUGACCAUCUGUUUGAACAUGAAAAGUAGUACUAAAAUUAAGUCUAGUACCCAAAGAUUUAUGUAGACUCUCUCAAAAUUUCACCACAAAUCGAGAAUCUUGAUCAUAUACAAUGGACACUAGCACCCCAUGCAGUCUCACAAUCUGCUCCACAUAUAACUCCACUAACUUUUCCAAUGACAUUUCCGUACGAAUAGCCAAGAAGUGAGCAGACUUUGUUAAUCUAUCAACAAUCACCUAGAUGCCAUCAUUACCUUUUAGUGUUCUCGGCAACCAGAUAUAAAGUCCAUAGUAAUUCGUUCCCAUUUCCAUUCUAGAAUAAGAAAUGGUUGCAAUAACUCUACUGGCCUCUGAUGUUCAACCUUAAUUUGUUGACAUGUUAAACAUUUGGCUAAAAACUGUGCAAUCUCUCUCUUCAUAUUGUUCCACCAAAAAGUGUUCUUCAAAUCUCGAUACAUCUUGGUACCACCAAGAUGGAUUGUAUAAUUACUAUAAUGAGCUUUCAACAAAAUUUCUCUCUUCAAUUUUGCAUCAUUGGGAACACAAAUUCUAUCACCAAACCUCAAAGAGUCAUCAUCAUGAAUCCUAAAGUCUGGUUUCAAACCAGAAUUAACCCUAAGUUUAAUGUGCUGAAGUCGAAGAUCAUCUACUUGGGCUGUCUUAAUCCGGUGAAUUAAAGUUGGUUGUACUCAUAUGUUAGCCAAUAAUGCUCCAAAACCCUGUAUACAUACACCAAUAUCCAUCCUCCGUAAGUCCUCCAAUAUCUGUUUUUGGGAAGUAAUCAUUGUGGCCAUGUUCCCAAACGUCUUUCUACUUAGAGCAUCAGCAACUCUAUUUGCCUUACUUGGGUGAUAAUUGAUGGUCAAGUCAUAAUCCUUCAACAAUUCUAACCAUCUUCUUUGUCACAUAUUCAACUCCUUCUGCGUGAUAAGAUACUUUAAACUUUUAUUAUCUGUAAAGACCUCACAAGACUCACCAUUCAAAUAAUGUCUCCAAAUCUUUAAUGCGAAACCACUACUGCCAACUUUAAAUCAUGAGUAAGAUAAUUCUCAUCAUAAGGUUUCAAUUGCUUAGAAGCAUAAGCGAUCACCUUAUCAUCCUGCAUAAGAACACACCCAAGUCCCUUUUUGGAAUCAUCACUAUAAACAACAAAUCCCUUACCACUAAUAGGCCUGGUAUGCAUAGGAGCGAAUACUAAUCUUUUCUUUAUCUCCUCAAAGCUCUUUUCAUAAUCAUUUGUCCACUCAAAACAAAUCCCUUUCCAUAUCAAUUUGGUUAAAAGUAAGGCAAUACAAGAAAAAUCCUCUACAAAUUACCUACAGCAUCCUACUAAACCCAGAAAACUGUUAAUCUCAAAAACAUUAUGUGGUCUCUUUCAAUUCACCACUAUUUCAACUUUCUUUGAAUCCACUGAAAUCCCGUCUUUCAACACCACAUGCCCAAGGAAAGCAACACUAAAAAGUCAAAAUUCACAUUUCUUCAAUUUAGCAAAUAACUAUUUCUGCCUCAAAGUCUUCAAAACAACCCUUAGAUGCUCUUUAUGAUCUGCUGAGCUAGGGGAAUACACUAGAAUAUCAUCAAUAAAAAUAACCACAAAUUUAUCCAAAUAAGGUUUAAAAACCCUAUUCAUCAAGUCCAAAAAAGUAACUAGAGCAUUUGUCAACCCAAAAGGCAUAAUAAGGAACUCAUAAUGCCCAUAUCAGGUACGAAAAGUAGUUUUGGGAACAUCCUCAAUUCUCACCUUCAACUGGUGAUAACCAGAUAAAAGAUUAAUUUUGGAAAACACUUAAGUGCCCUUUAGUUGAUCAAAUAAAUCAUAUAUCCCAGGCAAAAGAUACCUAUUAUUCACGGUUGCCUUAUUUAACUCCCGAUAAUCAAAACACAACCUCAUACUCCCAUUUUUUUUCUUCACAAAUAACACUGGCGCUCCCCAAGGAGAUAUACUACAUCUAAUAAAGCCCUUAUCAAGAAGUUCUUGCAACUGCUCUUUCAACUCUUUUAAUUCUAUAAGAGCCAUUUUAUAAGGAGCUUUAGAAAUAAGGUCAGUUUUUGGAACCAAAUCAAUAGAGAAAUCAAUUUCUCUAUUAGGAGGUAAACUAAGUAGAUCUUUAGGAAAAAAUUAGGAAAUUCCCCCAUAAUAAGAACAUCUUCAAUCAUUAACUCCUUCAUUCUAGUGUCUAUAACAGUUGCCAAAAAUCUUUUGUAACCACUAGUAAGCAAUCACCUAGCUUUCAAAGCAAAGAUGACUCGCAAAGGAGUGUAAGAACCACUACCACGAAAAGAAAAAGGUGUUUCCCCGGGAAUCUGAAAGUCUACCCUUUUCCCUCGAUAAUCAACUUUAGCAAAAUUUGCAACUAACCAAUCCAUCCCCAGAAUUAUAUCAAAAUCUUACAUAUCUAAAACAUGAAGAUCUGUAAGCAAUUCUCUAUCUUCAAUCCUUACCACACACAUCUUAUAAAUCUGAUCAGAGAUAAUAUCACCUCUAACUAGAGUGUCUACGCAUAGUUCAUAAUCUAGAAGCAUACAAGGCAAAGCAAACUUUCGAAAAAAUGUAGCAAAUACAAAAGAACGAGAUGCAUUGGUAUCAAACAAUACAUGAGUAAAAGCUGAGGCAACUAGCAGUGUACUUGAGACAACGGUGUUGGAUGCCUCUACAUCCGAUUGAGUGAUAGCAUAAGCACGCCCCUGGGUGCAAGGUCUUCCCACUUUUUGAUGUUCAAAAGAAGGUGUUUGCGUAGUCUAAACAACAUGAGUGGGUUGAGUCCUUUGCGUUGCAGUUUCAAAAGUUCGAGAGUUUUGCGACCUCUGCACAGAUUGAGAUUCUUGAAGGACUAAAGGACAAUUAGCAAUACGAUGGCCCUAUUGUCUACAUUCAGCAGCUCGAUGUCCUCCACCACACACUGAACACCUAGGCUUUUGUGCCCAAACUAUGAAAAUACAACCCUAAACAUAACUUAAUCAGCAAUCCCUUGAAUAUUUUUCCCUUUUUUCUGUCUUUCUUCUUCCUUGGUGUUAAGCUCUUCUGACUGCCUAUCGUUUGAGUAUGAUGAAAUAAACUUGUAAACUAACCUAACUUUCACUAUUUUUUUUUAAACAUGAUUUAGUGAGUUGUUGUCAGGUAAGAUAUACUAACCUUAACCCCACUAACUUAAAUGUGAUAAAUAAAACUGACAUUAAUUAAACUUUUUUAUUUACUUAAAGACCCCUUCUUCUCUUUUUUAAUUAUUAAGGCACCAAAAGUUAAAACUGCAAUUAAAUAAAAUACUAAAAGAACAUCUACUUAUUCAAAAAUGAAUAGUAAAUUUGAUCCAUCAUGUUAAGUAGAUUGGUGGUAAAUUUGAACCUUUUCUCAAACUAUUCUAUGGAGUUUGUUUGUGAAAAUAUGGCAGCACAUGCCCAAAUUAAAUUAGUAAACAACAUACACAUAUUCUAUAAUCAUGUUUUUCAUCUUUGGGUUGGCAAAGAAUGUUUGAGAUUGCAUUGGGAGUGGUUCGAGGUAUUGAAUAUUUACACAGAGGUUGUGAAAUGCAAAUUUUACAUUUUGAUAUCAAGCCACAUAACAUUCUUCUAGAUGAGAACUUCAUCCCGAAAGUUUCAGAUUUUGGCCUUGCAAAGUUGUAUUCAAUGGAUGACAGUAUUGUCUCUCUUACAGCUGCAAGAGGUACAUUAGGAUAUAUGGCUCCUGAAUUGUUCUAUAAAAAUAUUGGAAGCAUUUCAUAUAAUGUUUAUAGUUUUGGAAUGAUGUUAAUGGAAAUUGUCGGAAGGAGAAAAAAUGUGAAUGUCUCUGCUGAACAUUCAUGUCAAAUUUAUUUUCCAUUUUGAAUUUAUGAUCGACUUGAGGAAGGAGAUAUCAUAGAACUUGGAGAUGUAACGGAAAAUGAAAACAAAAUUAUGAGGAAAAUGGUAAUAGUAGCCUUUUGGUGCAUACAGAUGAAGCCCACAGAUCGUCCUUCAAUAAGCAAAGUCUUGGAGAUGCUUGAAAGUGAAGUUGAGCUCCUUGAAAUGCCUCCCAAGCCUGCUUUCUCUGAAAGGUCAACCAAACCAUUAGUUGUAUUAUAAGUAAUAUUUAAUGUUGUACGUUAAGCAAUGUUUCACUACUUUAUCAUACUACUUUUAUAAUUUUUAUAGUAGAAACCUUAAGCUUGAGGCAUAAUCUUCUCUCUUCCAAAAAAAACCAAAAAAAAAAAACAAUAUAGAAUGGUGAGGAAGAAAGUAUAGCAAGGAAAAGAAGGAUACUGAGUUGGAGUUUUGAGCGUGCGAAGGUGUUAUUUUAGAAGAGUUGUAAUGGUAUCUCGUAAGUAUUUUGUCUAUAUAAAAAGUCUUUUGCUCAUAUAAAGAAUAAAGACUUUAAAUAGCAUUAUCGAUAUAUUAUUGCAAAUAAUUAACUUACGUUUUAAAAAAAUUAAAAAUAUUCCUCAACCAUGCUUGGAAUUAUAAUUUUUAUUUAAAAAAAUAAAUUAUUUGAGUUUUAUUUUAAAAAAAUAAAUUAUUUGAGUUUUCUCUCUUAAUUAAAAAGUCAAAUUUUAUCCAAUUCAAAAAUUUAUUUAAAAUGAUUUGAAAUCAAAUUCAACUUAAUUCAAAUUAAAUGACAAAAAUUAAAAAUUUCAAUAUGAAAAUACGUGAAUUUAAAAUGAUAUUAAUUUAAUCCGACACAAUUCAAUGUUAACAUGACUCGAAUCUAAAACGAACCGAGCUCAUAAUGAUCAAAAAUCCAAGAUUUAUUGGAUCCAAAACUUACAAAAACUUAAAUUUAUAACUCCCAAAAAUCCAAAUUAUAAUUAAAUAAUUUUAUUUAAUAAUUAAAUAAGUAAAUGAUUAAUUUUUAAGUGAAAAUUUUAAGACACACAAGCACCUUUUUCUCGUCAAUGCUUCUUCGUUACUCAGAAACAGCUCAUAAGAAUGGCAUGGUCAACUACUCUGCUUCACCUUCACUUCAAAUCCCCUCCGGUUUCUUCUCACCAAUUCCCACAUUCCCCCCCAAAAAUCCCCGAUCUUCCUAAACCCUAACCCUAUAAUUCCCAAACCCAAACCCCCCAAAAUGCAAUUCCUUCACAGGCCCAACGCGUUUCCAGGCCACGGCGCAGUAUCAAGAGCCAUGGACAUCAUCCAAUCCUCACCGCCCACGUGGGAAUCGGCCUUCCUUACCAACAUCCUGAUCUUCGUCGUCGGGACUGCACUUUUAGUAGCGGGGCUUUCUCUCUCCGAAAUUUUCGCUUCCUUCUUGCUUGGCACUCUCACUUGGCGAGCUUUCGGGUCUUCUGGAUUCCUCCUCAUUGCUUCUUACUUCGUUAUAGUGAGUCACUAAAAAGUCUAUGAAUUUUAUUUGAAUUAUGGGAUUUACGUUAAAAUUGGAAAUGGGUUCUGAUUUUCGCUCCCAUUUGGUAUAAAGUUUAUGCUCUGGAUGACAAGUUUCAUUGUUUGGUAUUUUGGCAAAGGAAAAAAAAUUUAGUUUAUGUCAAAAAGAUUUAACGUGAAGUAUUUAGUUAUUUAAGUGUGAUUUGUUUUUAUUUCAAGAAUUGGAUUACACUAGGUGAAAACAGGUCAAAACUAUAACCAAAACAUUUUUCCAAAAUUCUUUUUUAUUUUCAUUUGUUUUCUUCUUGGUGGGGGCAGGUGAAGGGAGAUUUUAUUUGCUUUUGACAUGUUUCUUAAGUAUAAAGUUGAAGUAGAAGAUAAACUGAAUAAAAAAAUAAAAAAAGUUAAAUUAGAUAGAGAGGGUGAAUAUUUACCUAUUAAUGAUAUUUGUGAAAAGAAAGAAAUAAUUUAUAAAAUUACUCUCUCAUAUUCUACUGAAUCAAAUAGUGUAGUUGAAAGGAAAACUAAAACAUUAAAAGAAAUGAUGAAUUAUAUGCUUAUUAGUUCUAAUGCACAUGAAAAUUUGUAGGGUGAAGUUAUAUUAUUUGCAUGUCAUAUUCAAAAUAGAAUUCACUGCAAGAAAACUGAUAAGACACCUUAUGAAUUGUGAAAAGUCUAUUCUUCUAACUUAAAAUAUUUAAAAGUAUGAGAGUGUUUAGCUAAUGUUAUGCUUCUUGAUUUUAAGAAAAGAAAAAUUGACUCUAAGAUGUCCGGUUGCAUGUUUAUUGGCUAUACCAAAUAUAGUGCUGCAUAUAAAUUUCUUGUACUAAAAAAUGAUGUUUUUGAUAAUAAUACAAUUAUUAAAACAAAAAAUGUUGAAUUUUUUUGACAUAUUUUUCUAUUGAGAACUGAUACAAUUUUUCUUCCAUCUUUUAGUGAAAAUGUUUUUUUAAAUGCAAAAUGAUGAUUUGAGAAGAAGUAAAAGACAAAAGAAAGAAAUUUCUUUUUGUAAUGAUUUUUACACUUAUCUUGUAGAUAAUGAUCUUUUAAAUUAUGCUAAUUCAAUUUCUUCUAAAGAAUGUCCAUUUUGAAAAGACGUUAUACAAAAUGAGAUUGAUUCUAUUUUACAAAAUCAAACCCGGGAAUUAAUUUAUUUACCACCUGAAGCUAAGCCAAUUGGUUGUAAAUGGAAUUUUUAAAAAAAAUUUAAUCUUGAUUAUUUUAUUGAUAAAUACAAAAUUAAAUUAGUUGCUAAGGGUUUUACCAAAAAAUAAAAUAUUGAGUAUUUUGAUACUUUUGCUCUAGUAACAAGAAUUUCAUCUAUUUGUAUUUUAAUUGCCUUAGCUUCGAUUUACAAACUUUUUGUUCAUCAAAUGAAUGUUAAAACAGUUUUUUUAAAUGAUGAUUUAGAAGAAGAAAUUUAUAUGACACAACUCGAGGGAUGUGUACUUCUUGGUCAAGAAAACAAAAUUUGUAAAUUAAUUAAAUCUCUAUAUACUUAAAACAAGCACCAAAAUAAUGGUAUGAGAAAUUUGAUUAAAUUCUUGUUAAUAAUAGAUUUUUUACUAUUGGAGUUGAUAAAUGUGUGUACACAAAAACUAUUGAUAACGAAUAUAUGAUUAUUAGCUUAUAUGUUGAUGAUAUGUUUAUUUGUGGUACAUGCAUUGAUGUGGUAAAUAAAACAAUAUGUUUCUUAACUUAUAAAUUUGAUAUGAAAGAUUUGGGAGAAACCAAUAUUAUUUUGGGUGUUAAAGUCAUAAGAUGUGAGAGUGGCCUAAUGUUAACACAAAAACAUUAUAUUGAGAGGUUACUUAAAAAGUUUAGACAUUUUAAUGUCACACUUGUGAAUACUCCUUAUAAUGUUAAUACCCAAUUAAAGAAAAAUAGAGAUGAUAGUAUGGCUCAACCUUAGUAUGCAUAGAUUUUUAAAAGUUUGAUGCAUUUGAUGAAUUAUACUUGACUUGGUAUAGCUUAUGUUAUGUGUAGACUGAGUAAAUAUACAUAAAGUCUCAAUCAAGAUCAUUGAACUGUUUUGAAUAGAGUAAUGAAAUAUUUGAAAUGUACCAUAAACUAUGAUAUUUUAUAUAAUAGAUUUUCCGUUGCAUUAGAAAGGUACAAUAAUGUUAACUUAAUCUCAUAUUCAGAUGAGACAAAAUUCAUGAGUGAUUAUGUAUUCACCAUUGGUGUGGAUGCUGUUACUUAGAAAUUAGUCAAAUAAAUAAUAAUUACUAAAUCUACAGUGGAAUCAGAAUUUAUAGUUUUAGAAUUAACUAGUAAUGAGGUUGAAUAGUUAAGAAACCUCUUAACAGAUAUUUCAUUAGAAAUGAAACCAACACCUUCUGCGUCUAUGUAUUGUGAUUGUCUAACGGCAAUAAACAUUGUGAAGAAUAAAACUUUCAAUGGUAAGAAUAGACACAUUUGUUUAAGAUAUGAUGUGGUAAAAUAAUUACUUAGAGAUGAAAUUAAUGUCCAUUAAUUAUACGAAGUCAUAUACCAAAAAAUAUAAAUUAUGAAACCGAUGAAUCCUUUUAGAACUAUUAUUUUGCAUUUCAAUAAGUCCAUGGUGGAAUUUUAAGACUGCACAAAUGAAUUCAUAGGAUUGUUUAAGUGAUUUUAUUUAUAUGUUAUUGCAGACAGAUUACAAAAAUUCCUUUCCUGUUAGUUUCGUUAUCAAUCAGUUCAUACGUUAUUUUCUUCAUUAAUUCUUGUUUGAGUGGAAAAUCAUCUCAGAGCUAUGAUUGGCUUGUGUUGAAGUUGUUGGAUUGAAUUAAUUAGUUGACUGGACUGACUUUUCAAACGAAGACGAGUGAGGGAGAAAGACCGCACCAUUAAAAGUUGACUGACUUUUCAGUUACCGCAUGAAACCGUACAACUCUCAGACGUGAGUCUGAAAAAUGUGCAAUUUUGCUAAUAUAUGCAUGUGAUAUUUUUGUCCAAAAUAUUAUCAAAACAAAUUGUAUAGAACUGUGAAAUCCGUAAAAGUUGUUUGCAAAAAGGUUUUUAACAGCACAAGUUAAAGAAAAAAGGUCAAAGGAAGAUUUGAUUUCAAUUACAGCCACAGAAAUAAUUAACAAAGCAAUAAAGAUAACAUUAUCCUAACUCUUAUUUAAUCUCUCUCGUUAAACUUUGUUAUACUUAAUUCUCCUAAAAAAAACUUUUUUAUACUUACAAAAAAUAAAUAUAAGAUAUGGAGAUUGAUCAAUUUUAUUUAGAAUUAUUAUUUUAUAUAUUUGCAAUGAAAUUUUGAAAUUCCAAAUUUCAUAACAUUAUUUAAGUCAUAUUAUAUAUCUACAUAUAUAUAUAUUAUGUUAAGGGGUAUAUUGAUCUCACUAAUGUGCAGAUAUACUUGGAUGAAUUACCCAUGAGUGCUAUGGUAGGCUUUGUGUUAAAUGUGUUUUCUGGUUUGGGUUUAAUUAGUUGUCUGACUUUUCAAAAGAAGACUUGGUUUUAACAAUAAAUAUAAGAGAACAUCAUAGUGCUUCUUCACAAACUAAUUAAGCCCUUAAUCUCCUUCUCUCCCACUGAAAUUUUAGGAUGCUAAGAGCAAAGCUUCCAUUAUUCGGCCUUCUGGCCCUUGCUUUAUCUCUAUUCCCUGAUGCAUGCAUCGCUAGAGGCAAACACAAGCACUGUGGCUCUUCUUUCUGUGGAAACAUUAAUAUCACUUCCCCUUUUCGAUUAAAAAGUCAGCCUCGAAGUUGUGGUUACAAUCGUUAUGAACUAGUAUGCGAGAAUAACCGCACCAUUUUCCCCAUGAAACAUGGGAAUUUCUAUGUCCAACACAUCUCUUAUAGUGACGAAACCAUUCAACUGUUAGACGUGAGUCUUGACAAGGAUAACUUUUUUAUACAAUGAAUUUAUAAGAUUGCUUGAAUGAUUUUAUUCCUAUUUGAGUGGAAAAUCAGCUAAGAGCUAUGAUUGGCUUGUGUUAAAGUGGUUGGCUUUAAUUUGUUGACCUGACUGACUUUUCGAACGAAGACAAGUGAGCAAGAAUAACCACACAUUUUCCCCAUGAAAUAUGAGAAUUUCCAUGUGGAAAAAGCCAUAUAAGUCUUAGAGGUGAGUCUUACCAAGCCACUCGGUAGGAGAUAGGGUAUACAUCUCCCUCAUCAUAAGUAUCCAUGCACGUCAAUAUAGGGUCAUGUGUAUCUCUUAAAUUGCAGGAUGAAGAUGAAUUCUUCGGUUUACAUUGAUGCUUUCCAUUGCACCAAUCGAUGUUCCUCUCCACGCUAUUUUGUUUCUUCAGUCAAAUUAUUGUCUGGUUAACAACUAAUGGAAAUGUAAGGACGGAAUAUUCACGUGAUAUGUUGCAUAAUUUAUACUAUAAUAUUUUAUCAUUGUUAACGGCACAAUUUGAUAAAAAGAUCAAAAUGAAAUCAUUGUAUUAUAUUUUGUGUAAAAUGCAUAAAAAAAAAGAAUUCUAAAUUUNNNNNNNNNNNNNNNNNNNNNNNNNNNNNNNNNNNNNNNNNNNNNNNNNNNNNNNNNNNNNNNNNNNNNNNNNNNNNNNNNNNNNNNNNNNNNNNNNNNNNNNNNNNNNNNNNNNNNNNNNNNNNNNNNNNNNNNNNNNNNNNNNNNNNNNNNNNNNNNNNNNNNNNNNNNNNNNNNNNNNNNNNNNUCUAUACUUAACAAAAGAUAAAUGUAAAAUAUAAAAUUGAUCAAUUUUGUUUAGAAUUAUUAUUUUAUAUAUUUUGAAAUUUUGAAAUUUCAAAAUAUAUAAUAUUAUUUAAGUCGUAUUAUAUAUUAUAUUAUUGAAGGCUUAUAUUAAUCUCCCUACUGUGCAGAUAUACUUGGAUGAAUUAUAAAGAUGUCUUUUCUAUCAGUUUCGCUACGUACCAAUUGGUUGGACACAUAUUUUAUUCUUUCUUAUUUGUUUGUGUUAAAAGUGUUUUGCGGUUUGGGUUUAAUUAGUUGACUGACUUUUCAGAAGAAGACUUGGUUUUAAUAAUAAAUAUAAGAGAACAUCACAGUACUUCUUCACAAACUAAUUAAGCCCUUAAUCUCCUCUCCCGCUGAAAUUUUAGGAUGCUAAGAGCAAAACUUCCAUUAUUUUGCCCCUUGGCUUUUGCUUUAUCUCUAUUCCCCGAUGCAUGCAUGGCUAGGGGCAAAAACAAGGACUGUGGCUCUUCUUUCUGUGGAGAAGUUACCAUCAAAAAGCCCUUUCAGUUAAAAAGCCAACCUCUCAGGUGUGGAAACCGUGGGCUUGAAGUCGAGUGUGACGACAAUAACCGCACCACUUUCCCCAUGAAAUAUGGGAAAUUCCUUGUCCAAGACAUCUCUUAUAAUAACGGCACAAUUCAUAUUAUAUUAUAUUUUUAUGUAUGUUUGUAUCUAUAGUAUUAGUUGUUUAAACUUUUUGGGUGCAAUUCUUUUUCAUAUAUAAUUAACAGCUUUUAUAAAACAGCAGUCUUUGUCACUAUAUAUGCUUGUAAAUCUCUCUUUAACUGCAAUUUUUUUGUCCAAAAUACUUCUAAUAAAAGAUUGUAUAGAGCAGCCAAAUUUGUAAAGUUCUAUCCUAAUUAAAACACUUUCAAUAACAUCUUAAAAAAAUUAAAUGCCAAAGUUAUUGUAGUGUGUUUUUCCCCUUUGGCUCUAGACUCUAGUUUAUUAAAUUUUCAAAGGAAGAUUUGCUUUCAUUUGCAGCCACAGAAUGAUAAGCAGAGCUACCAAGAUAAGAUUAUCUUAGUUCUUAUUUAAUCUUUCUUUUCAAACUUUUUUAUGCAUAUAAAAAAAUGUGAAAUAUGGACGGAUUAGUUCUUUUAGACUUAAUAGGUUGAUGGUGAAAUUUUAAGACUACACAACAUAUUUAUAGGAUUGUUUUUUAUUUAUAUUUUAUUGGGGGUUAAUAUUAGUCUCCCAACUUAGACGAAUAACAAAAAUUCCUUUGCUAUCAAUUUCGUUAUCAAUCAGUUGCAUACGUUAUUUUCUUCACUUAAUUUCUAUGUGGAAAAAGCCAUAUAAGUCUUAGAGGUGAGUCUUGACAAGGAUAACUGCUCCAUUCCUUAUAGUUCCUAUCCUUGCUACAGCCCUUGUGGAAAAAGCCUAUCACUUGGUAGAAGAUAUGGUAUACAUCUCCCUCGUCAUAUGUAUACAUGCACCUCAAUAUAGGGUCAUCUAUCUCUUAAAUUGCAGGAUGAAGAUGAACAUUUGGUUUACAUCGAUGCUUCUCAUUCCACCAAUCGGUGUUCCUCUACAUCUUCUUUUGUUUCUUCGGUAUUUUACAUUGUUAAUGGGACAAUUUGAUAAAAAGAUCAAAAUAAAAUUGUUUCAAAAUAUUAUACACAUGAAAAAAUAUUACGAAUUUAAUUUGAUUACUUUAUUGCGAAAGUUGCAAAAAUAAUUGUAGAAGCAUGUAUAAUGAUUAUGGGCAUUAUUUGAAUAGAUAUUUUUCUCCUUUUUCGCGUCCGACUGAUCGUAACUUAUCUUCAAAUUCAAAUAAAAAAGAAAAAAAAUUCAAGACUGAGAGUAUUUUAGAUAGUCAUUCAAGAGCUUGACUGAUUUCAUAUUGGUCUGUGCAACAAAUUUGCAAAUUUUUUAAAAGACAACUUUGAACUUUAGACAUGCAUAAUUUUUUUAAUACACAGGGAAAAUGUAUAUAUAAAGUACAAGGAAAGAUAUAUCUAUAUAAAUUAAAUUAAUUUUACACACCCUUUUAUAUUUUUUUAUACAAUUUAUAUUUUGUUAAUCCAAUCAUUGAUUUCAAAUUAUAUUCACAUAAAUCAUGCAUAACAGAUUUCAAAUUAAUUAAAACUGAUUAACUAUUUAUUUGAUAAAAAUAAAAUUUCAAUUGUUAAAUAUAUUGAAAAAAUAAACAUUUUACCAAAUUGACUUUGAAAUUACAUGAUAAGUACAAGUUGUUAAAUCUAACAAUAAAAUAUUAAUUUUUAAAGAAAUUAUAAAAAAUGUAAAACUAAUUAGUUUUACGCAAAAAAAUUAAUUUAUUGUUAUUUAGGCUUUUGUGUGCAAUUUUUUCAUAUUUAACAGUAGUUGAAAAUAUGCGGUCUUUACUAAUAUAUGCAUGUGAUAUUUUUGUCCAAAAAUUACCAAAAACAUAUAGAACUGCGAAAUCCGUAAUGUUGUAUGGAAAAGGAUUUUUAACAACACAAGCGAAAGAAAAAAUUUAAUAAAUACAAAGUUAAUAUAGUUUGUUAUUUCCACUUAUUCAAAGGAAGAUUUGAUUUCAAUUGCAGCCACAGGAAUAUUUAGCAAAGCAAUGAAGGUAACAUUAUCCUAACUCUUAUUUAAUCUUUCUGGUUAAACUUUUUUUUACAUAAUAUUCCCAAAAAAAAACUUUUUAUACUUAUAAAAAUUAAAUAUAAGAUAUAUGGAGAUUGAUCAAUUUUACUUAGAAUUAUUAUUUUAUAUAUUAGCAAUGGAAUUUUGAAAUUCCAAAUUUUAUAACAUUAUGUAAGUCACAUUGUAUUUAUUUAUUUAUUGAGGGGUUAUAUUAGUCUCCCUACCGUGCAGAUAUGCUUGGAUGAAUUAGAAAGAUUUCUUUUCUGUCAGUUUCGUAAUGUAUCAAUUGGUUGGACACAGAUUUUCUUCUUUCUUGUUUGUUUGUUUGCGUGGAAAAUCACCCAUGAUUACUAUGAUUGGCUUUGUGGUAAAAGUGUGUUGCGGUUUGGGUUUAAUUAGUUGACUGACUUUUCAAAAGAAGACUUGGUUCUAACAAUAAAUCUAGGAGAACAUCAUAGUGCUUCUUCACAAACUAAUUAAGCCCUUAAUCUCCUUCUCUCCCGCUGAAAUUUUAGGAUGCUAAGAGCAAAACUUCCAUUAUUCGGCCUUCUGGCCCUUGCUUUAUCUCUAUUCCCUGAUGCAUGCAUCGCUAGAGGCAAACACAAGCACUGUCGCUCUUCUUCCUGUGGAAACAUUAACAUCACUUACCCUUUUCGAUUAAAAAGCCAGCCUCAUAGGUGUGGUUACAAUGAGCUUGAACUAGUGUGUGAGAAUAACCGCACCAUUUUCCCCAUGAAAUAUGGUUAUGGGAAUUUCUAUGUCCAACACAUCUCUUAUAGUAACAAAACCAUUCAAAUGUUAGACGUGAGUCUUGACGAGGAUAACUGCUCCAUUCCUCAUAGUUCCUACCCUUUCUACGUGGAUGCACUAAAUAUAUAUUCCUAUCAAACUACCACUGAACCUAGCAUCAUGUAUCUCGUAAAUUGCCCGAUCCAGAUCAACAACUCUUGGGUUUAUAUUGAUGCUUUUCGUUGUACCAAUACCCCUUCCUCUCGACCUCCUUACUUUUACUUUUUGGAUGAAAAUACUGCAAUGUCUAAUUUCCAUGAGUCAUGCACAGUUGAAGCGCAGGUUCCAAUCAUGGUUGCCAAUAUCACUGGCCUCUCUACUUUUGAUAUUUACACAAAGCUGUUGGAGGGAUUCCAACUCUCAUGGUCUUCGUAUGAUGAUAUGUCAAGGUGAGACUCAGUUUUUAACGCGUGAGGAUUUUUAAGUAUUCCAAACUAUUUGGUGCAUUUUAGUUUUUGAAAAGUAUUUAUUAUUUUUAGUUUUUAAUUUUUAAAUUACCUUUUUAACUAUGUAUAUAAAUUUUUAUAAUUAGAAUCACAAAUUUUUAUUACUGUAGUAUCUUCUUCAGACUUUGAUUAUUUACUUUUACUCUAAAUUUGUUUAAUGUAAAAUUUAAACAGAAGCAUUUAAAAUAUUUUAAACAGUGAAAGUGCGCAUUUCAUGGCCUUAUUAAGGAUAACGGUUUUGAUGUGCUUUCUUGAAUAUUAAUUAUAGAUUGCUCUGGCUGUUGCUGCAUCCGCUGCAAAUAUAUAUUCAAAGCAUCAUGGCUUUGUUUCAACCAGAUUAUUUCUAUGCACCUUAUAAAGGUAUUCGUUCUUUUUUGAGUUCAUUAAUAAUUUGAUUCUUAUUGGAUUGGCCUUUACUUUCCUGUAUAGUUGACUUGACUCUUUACGUGCAUCAUAAGUAAACUGUUAAAUUUAAUAGUUGGUUUAUUAAAAUAUUAAUAGUAUACGAAGUUAUAAAAAAUUUAUAAAAAUUAAUUAAUUAAUUUUAUAGUGGUGUUGUGUGAGUAUCGCAUAUAUGUAUACGUAUGUAUCCAAGUGACUACAUAAAAGAAGAUCCAUCAUAAAUGAUUCAUAAAUAAUUUUGAACUACAUUAAUUGGGUAUUUUUUAACUAGGUAUUUUUAUGAUGUUGUGAUUUUUUUGGUCAAAAUAAAAAUUAUGUGGAAUAAGGUCUAAAUUUACCAUUCUAUAUAUUUCGGAUAAUGGAUCAAACUUGUCAGCAUCUUUGAACGGGUGUAAUUUUGCCAUUAUACUUUUAAAUUAGUUAAAAAUGUAAUCAAAAGUUAAGACUAAUGUUAAUUUUUGACCAUUUUUGAAGUAAAUUAAAAUGUAUAAUGGUAAAAAUUGCACUUGUUUAAAAAUAAAAUAAUAAAUUUGAUCCAUCACCUUAAAUAAACUAGUGUGUGUAAAUUUAAAUUUUAUCCCAAAUUAUGUUAUGAAUUUUGUUGGGGAAAAUAUGGCAGCACAUACCCAACUUAAAUUGGUAAAUGACAUAUGCAUAGCAUAUAAUCAUGUUGUCCAACUAAUUAAUAUAUAUAUUGUUAUGUAAUUUUUUUUUUGUGAAACAGGAAUUAUAUUGCUAAGAACACUUUUGGGGAUAAUUUGCUUGAUUAUAUUGGUUAUACGCAAAUUAAAAAGGAGGCAUUUGUCGAUGGAUGACAUGAUUGAGAAUUUUCUUCAGAGUCAAAACAAUUUAAUGCCUAUAAGAUAUUCUUAUUCUGAAAUAAAAAGAAUGACGGAAGGUUUCAAGAAUAAACUAGGACAAGGAGGAUAUGGCUCUGUGUUUAAAGGAAAACUUCGAAGUGGUCAAUUUGUUGCGGUAAAAUUGUUAAACAAAUCAAAAGCUAAUGGUCAAGAUUUCAUCAAUGAAGUUGCAACUAUUGGAAGAAUUCAUCAUGUUAAUGUAGUAAGACUCAUUGGAUUUUGUGUGAAGGGAUCGAAACAAGCUCUUGUAUAUGACUUCAUGCAAAAUGGAUCCUUAGAUAAAAUAAUAUUUUCAACUGAAAGUAACACUUUGAGUUGGCAAAAAAUGUUUGAGAUUACAUUGGGAGUGGCUCGAGGUAUUGAAUAUUUACAUAGAGGUUGUGAAAUGCAAAUUUUACAUUUUGAUAUUAAGCCACAUAACAUUCUUCUAGAUGAGAACUUCAUCCCGAAAGUUUCAGAUUUUGGCCUUGCAAAAUUGUAUUCGGUGGAUGAUAGUAUUGUCUCUCUCACGGCUGCAAGAGGUACAUUAGGAUAUAUGGCUCCUGAAUUGUUUUAUAAAAAUAUUGGAAGCAUCUCAUAUAAAGCUGAUGUUUAUAGUUUUGGAAUGAUGUUAAUGGAAAUUGUCGGAAGGAGAAAAAAUGUGAAUGUCUCUGCUGAACAUUCGAGUCAAAUUUAUUUUCCAUCAUGGAUUUAUGAUCGACUUGAAGAAGGAGAUAACAUAGAGCUUAGAGAUGUAACGGAGAAUGAAAACAAAAUUAUGAGGAAAAUGUUAAUAGUAGCCUUUUGGUGCAUACAGAUGAAGCCCACAGAUCGUCCUUCAAUGAGCAAAGUCUUGAAGAUGCUUGAAAGUGAAGUUGAGCUCCUUGAAAUGCCUCCCAAGCCUGCUUUCUCUUGAAAUGUCAACCAAAUCAUUUGGUGUUGUAUUAUAAGUAAUAUUUAAUAUUGUAUGUUAAGCAAUGUUUCACUACUUUAUUAUAUUACUUUUAUAAUUUUUAUAGUAGAAACCUUAAGCUUGAGGCAUAAUCUUCUCUCUUCCAAAAAAAAACAAAAGAAACAAAAACAAUAUAGAGUGGUGAUGAAGAUAGUAUAGCAAGGAAAAGAAGGAUACUGAGUUGGAGUUUUGAGCCUGCGAAGGUAUUAUUUUAGGAGAUUUGUAAUGGUAUCUUGUUAGUAUUUUGUUUAUAUAAAAAGUCUUUUGUUCAUACAAAGGGCAAAGACUUUAAAUAGCAUUGUCUAUACAAUCAUUAUGUUAAUGCAAAUAGUUAACCAAGUUUUUAAAAAAAUUAAAGAUUUUUCUAAACCAUGUUUGGAAUUAUAAAUUUUUUAUUUAAAAAAUGUAAAUUAUUUGAGUUUUCUCUCUUAAUUAAAAAAGUCAAAUGUUAUCGAAUUCAAAUAUUUAUUUAAAACGAUUCAAAAUCAAAUUCAAUUUAAUUCAAAUUAAAUGACAAAAAUUAAAAAUUUGAAUCCAAAAAUAUGUGAAUUUAAAAUGAUAUUAAUACAAUCUACCUUCAACAUAACUCGAAUCUAAAACGAACCGAGCUCAUAAUGAUCCAAAACCCAAGAUUUAUUUGAUCCAAAACUUAUAAAAACUUAUAUUUAUAACUCCAAAAAAUCCAAAUUAUAAUUAAAUAAAUUUAUUUAAUAGCUAAAUGAGUAAAUGAUUAUUUUUUAAGUGAAAAUUUUAAGACACACAAGCACCUUUUUCUCGUCAAUGCUUUUUCUUUGCACAGAAAAAGCGCAUAGGAAUGGCAUGGUCAACUACUCUGCUUCACCUUCACUUCAAAUUCCCUCCGGUUUCUUCUCAUCAAUUGCCACAUUCCCUCCCCAAAAAAUCCCCAAUCUUCCUAAACCCUAUCCCUAUAAUUCCCAAUUCCAAACACCCCAAAAUGCAAUUCCUUCACAGACCCAACGCGUUUCCAGGCCAAGGCGCAGUAUCAAAAGCCAUGGACAUCAUCCAAUCCUCUCUGCCCACGUGGCAAUCGGCCUUCCUCAGCAACCUCGUGAUCUUCGUUGUCGGAACCCCACUUUUAAUAGCGGGACUAUCUCUCUCCGGAAUUUGCGCUGCCUUCUUGCUUGGCACUCUCACUUGGCGCGCUUUUGGGUCUUCUGGGUUCCUCCUCGUUGCUUCUUACUUCGUUAUAGUGAGUCAUUACAAAGUCUAUGGAUUUUAUUUGAAUUAUAGGAUUUAAGUUAAAUUUAGAAAUGGGGUUCUGAUUUUUGUUCCCAUUUGGUAUAAAGUUUACGCUUUGGAGGACAAGUUUCAUUGUUUGGUAAAUAUGGCAAAGGAAAAGAAAUUUAGUUUAUGUCAAAAAGAUUUCAUGUGACGUAGUUUGUUAUUUAAGUGUGAUUUGUUUUUGUUUAAAGAAUUGGAUUACACUAGGUGAAAUCAGGUCAAAACCAUAACCAAAAUAUUUUUUCCAAAAUUUCUUUAUUUUCAUUUGUUUUCCUCUUGGUGGGGGGCAGGUGGAGGAGCCAGGGAGAAUUUAUGGGUUCUCGCAGUUUUAGACUAGUUUGAAACGAUAUAGUAUUGUUUUUCCUGCUUUCCUUUCUGAUAAUGGCUUGUUUUACUUGCAAAAUGAAUCUUGAAUUAGUUCCUCCUUCCCUCUUCUGAUUUUCCCUACCCAUAUUUCUAGUUGAAGAUAAUAGUUUCAAAUCAUGCUUGAAAACUAUAUUACAAAAUACUUGUAAUAUCAAACAAUUUUGUGUGGCAUUCGAGUUUCUAAUUUGAAUGGAGAAAUAAUUGGGAUGGAAGUGGUAUUAAAUUUAGAGGAAAGAAACAAGAAUGCCUUUUGCAACAUUACAAAGAAAAGAAAAGAAAACCUAGUAUAAAACUUCGGAAGAUGCUUGAUUAUAAGGUGCUGGGCUUUUGAGGACCUGAGACUUCAUAAUACUUUAUAAUUCUCUAGAUCUUCAGGCAAUCUUACAGCUCUUUGUCAUGCCUCUAAAACAAAUGCGGUAAAACCAUGCUCAAUUGUUCAAAUUGUUAUGCUCAAUUGAGAACUCCUGACCUGUUAUGUGUGUGUGGAGAUGAUAACACCAAUGAAUGGCCUUGUUAUACGGAUGACCGCUCAUGAUAAUUGCUACUUCAAAAAUUAUUGGCUUAGAUUUUGCUGCUGUGUUUUGAAACUUGUUGGCAUGCCUCACGAAUGCUGCGAAAUGUGCAGAAGGUUUCUGAGAUCUUGCUGCCAUCUAAGAAGAAAGAAUAGGUGAAAUUGUACAGGUACUAUGAAUAUGAUGUAAUGUUUAGCUUUUUUAUAGGGACUUCCUUUUUGUAUAGUGAACUUGGUUGCAUUGGAAUGAGUCUGUUCUCUGGGAAGAAUCACUGUUCUGAAAUUUGUUAAGUCUGAUCACAAUUGCAACCAGGAGCGGCAUGCCUUGCUUUUCUUCUCAUAGGGCAUGAGGGUAUCCCAUCAGGGUUCUUUUUGUGAACCCCUCUUAUGAAAUAACAUCUUCUAUGCCUUUCCAAAAAAAAAAAAGUAACAAUCACAUGGCAUAAUUUUUUCUUACAAUAUGAGAGUACUACAUCAGAGUUUCUUAAUGCACUAAGAAAAGUUAGAGAUAAGGUCUAAGAAAAUAUCAAUUUCAAGAAGAAACAAAUAACACUAGAAUCAUAUUUUACAAAAAUAUCAUAAUUGAGUCAUGUAUAUAAAUAAUUUUGAUGUAUGAGGAAAUUAUUAAUUUAUAUAUCAAGUGAGAUCUAUGUGUUUUUUUUCAAAAUGUAUUAUCUUAUUAAUUUAACAAAUUAUUAAUUUAUCAUGUUGAUCUCAAAUCAGGACCAACCAAAAUUAAUAUUUAUUCAAAAUUAUUAAUUUAUCAAGUAUUAUUUAUAGAAGAUUUGUUGUACUUCUUUGUAAUUCACUCUAAAUAAAAGGGUAUGUUGAAACAAGCGGAAUUUAGAUCCCUUAUGGUUCUUGCUACAUUUAAGUACUAUUAAUGUCAUUUAUGCUGGUUAUAAAGAUCUGACAUUUUAUUUAGAAACAAAAUUUGUAGAGUGUCAAGCUUUAAUAGCUUUUUUUUUUUGUUGCUUUUUAAUGUUUAUAUUCGUUGCUAUAUACUAUUUUUUUCCCUAUCAAACCAUUCUUUCAUGCUUACAAAUUUAAAUUUGUGGUGUGCAAAAAUUGUUGGUGUAUUUUCAAAAAUCAAAGGUUAUGUCACAUAAUCAAAAGCUAUCUUAGCUCAAAGGUUUGUCACAUAAAGUGACAUAGUGUGACUAUUGGAUUGUAGACAGGUUAUNUUGGUGUAUUUUCAAAAUCAAAUGUUAUGUCACAUAAUAAAAAGCUAUUUUAGCUCAAAGGUUGUCACAUAAAGUGACAUAGUGUGACUAUUGGAUUGUAGACAGGUUAUUGUUUCAUUAGAUAUGAAAAGUUAUUGUUUCAAAUUAUAACUCAAAGAUUAUGAUUUAUGGAAUGAAUAGUUGUCCUUUCAUUAGAUGAUUAUUGAAACAAUACAUUUAUCUUAAAGUUGUGUCUAGCAAAAUGUAAAGAUGUCUUUUAGACAAAAUGGUGUCUUAAUAAAAGGGUUGUGUCCUUGAAGAAGAGACACUUGCAAGCCUAUGUAAAGGGCUUGUUGCCAACCAUUUUUACACAUCAAAUCAAAAACAAAACAAGAACAGAAAAUCAAGAGUAAGAAAGUGUUGUGUUCUAUUAACAUAAACACUUAAGUUCCCAUCAACUACAAAAGCAUCAAAAUUUCUUAUAAUCUACUUGUUGUAGAAAGUAAGCUCUAAAGCCAAACAACUUUGCAAACCCUUAGAUAUAUCUAGUGGUCUACUCUCGUAAAGUGCAAGACAAAGUUAAACGUUAGCUUCAUUGUAUCCUUAAAACUAUUCGCAUUAUUUCUCUUUGCAUACUGAGUGGUGGGGAUGAAAUAAGUUUUAAAAAUAAUGUCUAUUGAAAAGCUCGCCUUAAAAUCAAUUUUGUUGGUUCUUAAAUUUCAUCUAAACCUCAUUUGCACCAACAAAAAUGAACAGGUACCUACUUUACUUUAUUAUUCUACUUUUAUUAUAUAAUUUUUAUAGUCUCCUUUUUCAUCUUAUAUACGGAAUCAGAUCCAUAUAGAAACCUUAAGCUUGAGGCAUAAGCUUCUCUCUUAUGAAAAUAAAAUAAAAUAAAAUAAAAUAAAAAUCAAGAGCAGUAUAUAUACCAUUGUGAAUGAAUAAAGUAUAAAAUCAUAGUGCCUUUUGAGAUACAAAACAUUGUGAAUGCGACAAGAAGUAUUAGUUGUAAUGUGUUAAUGGUCAUUUUUAAAUCAAAUUAAAAAUGUUACUAUUAGCAAUAUCAAGAAUUGCCAAGGAGAAAUUCAUUGAUAAAAUGACAAAUACCCGAAUUCUCUUCAUUGGCAACUUUACUAAAAAUCACUUUCAACGAAAAAAAAUUAGUAAAAGAUCUUCCAUAUUAUCUCUAUAUAUAGUAUAAUAUCAAAAUUUAGUAUUCUAAAAAUUUUAUUUUAUGCUGUUUUAGUACUAACAUAUUUUAAACAAUAUCAUUGUUUAUAUUAUUAUUACACGGACACUACUUACAUAUAAUAUAUAUAUAUAUAUAUAAAAGAUAAUAGCAUUGUUAGCUUUAUUAGAAUGAAUAAUUGAUUUUUUUUAAAAAUAGAAUGAAUAAUCUAACGAGAUGAAUUGGAUUUUAAAAACUUUUUUUGACAAAAUAAAAUCUAAAAAAAAAACACAUCAAAUAAUAAAAUCAAAACCAUUAAAUAAAUAUUUAACUGAAAAUAAAUGUAAUAAAAAUAAAUAGUAUAGGGUAAAAAUAUUUGCAAGAACCAUUUAUAAAGGUUCAAUCUUGUCUCUUGGUAUUUAUGUCACAAGUCUACUUUCUAAUCCAAAAGACAUGCAUAUUAAGUAAAGAUAGACAUUUAUUUAUAAAUCCAAGACUCAACUCAUCUCUUAUUAAUGUAAGAUCUAUCACAUUCUACCUCACCUAAUUGUUCAAUACGUUCGUUGCAUCGGCUCCUUUACUCAUAGAGGAGAGGGACCGUAUCUUGAUCUAAGUCUACCUCGAACCUGAUAUCUUUUAUAAAAGUUUCAUACUAGUUAAGAGUUAAGUUUGCUCUAAUACCACUAAUCACGAGUUCACAUUUCUAAUCCAAAAAAUAUACAUAUUAGAUAGAGAGAGGCCCUUAUUUGUAAAUCAAGACCCACCCAUAUGACACUUACAUUCUCUCUCUUAGUGUAGUAAAGAGUUCAAUACACUACUUAAUUCAACCAAUACAAAUACUAUUUUCUUGCGUAUCCAAAACAUGCAAAAAAUGCUCUACUUCCCUAUGUGAUACCUCAGAUGAAAUAAAUUAUUUCCUCAUCUUUAAAAGAAAAUACAAUAAUUGUAAAUUUUAUUUUUCUCCUAUUUUAUGUAACAGCCUCAACUUUGACUAAGGUUAUAAAUUACUUGUGUUGAACCAUUUGAUAACUUGCCAUGAGAUUUAAACAUAUGUAUUAAAUAUAUGAACAAAUGACAAUGUGUUUAAGGAUCUUGAAUGAUAAACUAUUAGGGUAAAAUACCCUUACCCCUCUAAGUUUUGAUUGAAAUUACAUGGAGGUCCAUUAGUUUUCAAAAUAGACACUCCGCCCCAAAAAAAUAUUUUUCACUGGACAUUUAGGUCCAGUUGUUAGUCAACCAUUAGUGUUUCCGUCAAUUUGAUGAUGUGAUAAGGGUAAAAACAUAAUUUCACCAUUGAUUAAUUUUUAAAAUUACUAUUAUAUAAUUUUAUUAAUUUUUUAAUUAAUUAAAAUAAAAAAGCUCCUCAAGGAGCAUUAAAGCUCCCUGGGAAGCACCAAUCGGGUGCUCCCCUCCCUUGAGGAGCACGAUGCUCUCUUUUUUAAAAUUUUUUUAAACAUAUAAUAUAAUUUUUAAAAUUUAUAUAAAAAAAAGAAAAGACAUUUUAGUCUUUUCCUAAUCUCUAUUAACGGUAUUUUCAUUUUUAGGACAAAGUGUCCAUUUCAAAAACUAAUAGACCUGCUUAAAAUUUGAACUAAAACUUAAAAGGUAGGGGUAUUUUACCCUAAAAUAUUAUGUUUUUGAUUAGAUUUUAGACCUUAAGCUAUGUGUUGAUAUGUUUUGACACUGAAUAUUGGUUAAUGUGGUGCAUACUAGUUGCAUUAAGAUGAAUAUUGAAAUAACAAAUCGUUUUGGAAGUCCAAAUUUGGAGUUAGGUAGUUUGAAGUGUUGAAAGUUUGCCUUUAGGAGAAAAUGUAUUGAUAAAUUCCUUGAUCUAUCAAUACAUUCAUGGCAGAAUGCCUUGGCAAAGCUUUCUAUCAAUACAUUCUAGAAUGUUUCGAUAGAUUUGGGCCAGGAGGCAUUCUAUAUGAAAACUCUCGAACAUUACAAGAACGUAUUGAUAGAUUUAAAAAGAUGGAUAUUUUGUAAAAAAGGUAUUUAUAGAUUUUCUUGAUCGAUCGAUACAUUUCAAGCAUAAAGCAUUCUUUUAAAUUUACUUCAAUAUGUUGGUACAUGUAUCGAUAGAUCUGAUGAAAAUUCGUGAAAAUGUAUCAAUGCAUGAUUGUAAGUCAGCAAAAAUAAAAGAGACUUUGGGCAUUCCACCCAUUUGAAAACACAAGGAAACAAAAGCUUUCCCUCCUUGCCUUUGAAACCCUAAAACCCCCUAGUAGAUUGGAACUAAUUUGGAGUACUUGGAAGCUUGGAAAUUCAUACUUAAGGUAAGAUCAAGCUUCCUAACAUUUUGAAUUACAUUUUAAUCGGUUCAAAAAUGAGAAUUUGACUAUGGUUUCAUCUCAAUUAUCUUCUCCUUGAGUUGUUGGGAUUUUGGAGUCUUAAGGGCUUAGAAUAGCUGCCAAGGUGAGGAAACCUAACUGUUUUGAACAUUGGAAACAAUGAAACCUAUGAUUUGGAUUGGUAGUUGGAUUUAGAAGCUCAGUUAGGCUUAGAAAAUCUGUGCAUGCUUUGAAAAAAGCUAAAGGUCUAGAAUUUAUGGAUUUGUUAGGUGAAGUGGGAACUUAGAGCUGUUGAUGAACUGAAAUUCUAUGUGGAAUGAUGGACGCAGUGUUUAGCUGAGUGUGAUGUCUUGGCUUCUUCUUGGAAGAAUGUUGCAGCACUAAAACUUUACUAUUUAGCAAUGUGAGUUACGUUAGAGAUAUUCUAGGUCAGUGGGGCAUUUUAUCUAGAAAUUAAGAUUUGAUGUAUGUAUGCACAAAUGUAUGCAUGUGCACUGCCAUGAAACAUGAUUGGUUGAUAAAAUGCUUAGAUGAACUAUGCAUAGGCCGAUGGGUUGAUUGAGCUCUAUUAUAGCUAUGUAUGUUAAUAAUAAAAACCUGUUUGAUAUUGGGUGAGCCAUGUGGUGGUGAUUGAGCUUGACUGUCUUAGUAUUCGCGACUAAAAAGUCUAUUGACCAUGCCUCUGCGCUUGUAUAAAACUUAUAACUUGAUACCUUUUUCUGUGGUAGCGUAUGAUUAUUGCUAAUUCUACGAAAUAAUGUUAUUAGUGAACUAUGGAAAAUCUGAAUUAUGAAAGUUGAUUGAGUUGCAUUCGUAAUUAUGCAUGUAUGAUGCCAAAUGGCUAUGUUAAUGACUUUUGCACAUGUAAUGGCGACACAAUUCCUAAUGGUAAUUGGUUUCGUCUUACGAGUGCUUUCUGGACGAUGAUAUGGUCUAGUUAGAAGGUGUCAUAGUCCCUGUGGUCUUGCUUACCAUUAGCAGUUUAGGCGUUGGACGUGUUUUGUUUACUUGGGAAGACCCUUCUCUUGUUACCAUCUUGAUGAUAACACAAUUUAAUUAGUUGACUUGACUGUCUUUUCAAUCCAAGACAAGUGAGCGAGAAAAACUGCACCAUUGCUCCAUGAAACCUUACAACUCUUAGACGUGAGUCUUGACCUCAUCGAUAGUUCCUAUCCUUGCUACACUCCUUGUGGAAAAAGCCUACCACUCGGCAGAAGAUAUGGUAUGCAUCUCCCUCAUCAUACAUGCACCUUAACAUAGGGUCAUGUAUCUCUUAAAUUGUAGGAUGAAGAUGAAGUCUUCGGUUUACAUUGAUGCUUUCUCAUUGCACCAAUCGAUGUUCCUCUCCACAUUAUUUCAUUCUUCAGUCAAAUUAUUCAUUGUUAACAACUAACGGAAAUGUAAGUGUGGAUUAUUCACGUGACAUGUUAAAUAAUUUUUACCAUGAUAUUUUAUUACUGUUAACAGUACAAUCUGAUAAAAAGAAUAAAAUGAAACCAUUUUAAAAUAUUAUGUGUAAAAUAUAUGAAAAAAGAUUAUAGAUUUAAUUUGAUUACAUUGCUGCCGGACUUACCAAAAUAAUUGUAGAAGCAUGUCUAAUGAUUAUAGGCAUAGCUCUUCAAAGAAAAAUACUGUUUUAUACUUAACAAAAAGAUAAAUGUAAAAUAUAAAAUUGAUCAAUUUUGUUUAGAAUUAUUAUUUUAUAUAUUUUGAAAUUUUGAAAUUUCAAAAUAUAUAAUAUUAUUUAAGUCGUAUUAUAUAUUAUAUAAUUGAAGGGUUAUAUUAAUCGCCUUACUGUGCAGAUAUACUUGGAUGAAUUAUAAAGAUUUCUUUUCUAUUAGUUUCGCUACGUAUCAAUUGGUUGGACACAUUUUAUAAUAAAUAUAAGAGACCAUCAUAGUGCUUCUUCACAAACUAGGACCUUAAUCUCCUUCUCUCCCGCUGAAAUUUUAGGAUGCCAAGAGCAAAACUUCCAUUAUUUUGCCUCUUGGCUUUUGCUUUAUCUCUAUUCCCCGACUGAGGCUCUUCUAUCUGUGGAAAUGUUACCAUCAAAAAGCCCUUUAAGUUAAAAAGCCAACCUCUCAGGUGUGGAAACCGUGAGCUAGUAGUCGAGUGUGACGAUAAUAACCACACCAUUUUCCCCAUGAAAUAUGGGAAAUUCCUUGUCCAAGACAUCUCUUAUAAUAACGGUACAAUUCAACUUUUAGACGAGAGUCUUGGCAAUGAUAACUGCUCCAUUCCUCAUAGGUCCUAUCCUUUGUACAUCCCUUUUGCGAAAAAACAACGUCUCUAUGAAGAUACCACUGAAUUUAGCAUCAUGUAUCUCGUAAAGUGCACGAUGCAGAUCAACUACUCUCGGGUUUAUAUCGAUGCUUUUCGUUGCACCAAUACUCCUUCCUCUCUACCUCCUUACUUGUAUUUUUUGGAUAAAAAAACAGCAAAGUCUGAUUUCCAUGAGUCAUGCAGAAUUGAAGCCCAGGUUCCAAUCAUGGUUGCCAGUAUCACUGGCCUCUCUACUUCUGAUAUUUACACAAAACUGUUGACGGGGUUCCGACUCUCAUGGUGGGAUUAUGCUUAUCAGUUUGGCUGGCUGCGGUGGGACUCAAUUGUUAACGUGUGAGGAUCUUUAAGUAUUCCAAAAUAUUUGGUGCUGUUUAGUUUUUGGAAAUGUUAACUAUUUUUAUUAUAAAUAAACAAAUAAGAUAAAAAUUUUAGUCUUUAUUUCUUUUUAAAAAGUUGACAACAUUUUUAAAUUACUAUUUUAACUAUGUAUAUUAAUUUGUUAUCUAAAAUUUAAACUCGAUAUUUUUAAAGAAUUACAGACUUUAAUUCUAUUAAUGUAGUGUCUACUUCAGACUUCAAUUAUUUCCUUUAAAUAUGUUUAGUGUAAAAUUUAAAGAUAAGGAUUUAAAGCAUUUUUAACAGUAAAAGUGUGCAUUCCAUUUAACUUAUUAAGGAUUAGCGGUUUUGAUGUUCUUUCUUGAAUAUUAAUUAUAGAUUGCUAUGGGUUUUAAAAAAAAAAGGAAGUAUAGAUUGCUAUCCUUGGUCAACCUUUUGCUGGCUCCGCUGUUUAUAUUUAUUGAAAGCAACGCGGCUCUUCUGCUAGGCAUCCCAACAGAGGAUUCAUUGGUAGAUAACAAAGGUGUUCUUUCUUUUCUGAGUUUGUUACUAUUUUGAUUAUUAUUGGAUUUACCUUUACUUUCCUAGGAUCUAUUAACACUUAGUUCUCGAAUCGGUAAAAUCUUAGCAUGAAUCCAGAUUUAUAUUUAUAUAUCAUUAAUUUAACAAUUGUAUUUCGUAAUCUAUUUACUUAUAUCAUGCAUGAUAAAUUUUAAGUUAAUUGAAAAUAUUUAAUUAUUUAAAUGAGAACAUUAAAAUUUUGACCAUUAAAUAUAUAUUAAAAAACCAAUAUUCUUGAGCAAUACGAUAUGGAUUAUCACAUUGAUUUGAAAUUUUAAAUGUAUGAUGAGUACGAAUAGUGUAUGAAAUUAUAAAAAGGUGUAAAACUUAAUUAAUUUUUAACUUGAGCCCUCAAAUUUAUAUAGUUUGUAUGAGUAUUGCAUAUAAAGUAUAUGUAUGUACAAAGAGAUUCCAAUAAAGGAUAAAAUUAUUUAAUAAGAGACGAUAUACUAUAAAUAAUUCAUGAAUAAUAUUGAACUACAUUAAUUGGGUUUUUUUCAGUUAGGUAUUUCUAUGUUGUUACGAUUUUUUUGGUCAAAAUAAAAAUUUUGUCCAAGUUUAUCAUAUUACUUGAAUGAGUACAAUUUUGUCAAUAUACUUUUAAAUUUGUUAAAAGAGAUCAAAAGUUACAAAAUGAACUAAAAUGUACAAUGAUAAAUAUUACACUCGUUAAAAAAAUAAAUAGUAAAUUUGAUCCAUCACCUUAAGUCUAGUGGUGAUAAAUUUAAACCUUAUCUCAAAUUAUUUUAUGAAGUUUGUUUGUGAAAUAUGGCAACAUAUACACAAAUUAAGUUAGUAACUAGCAUGUACAUAUUCUAUAAUCUUGUUGUCCAACUAAUUGGUUUAUAUAUAUGUUUUGUACUCUCUUUUUUUUUUUAUGAGAAACAGGAAUUAUAUUGUUAAGAACUUUUUUGGAGAUAACUUGCUUGAUUGUAUUUGUUAUACACAAAUUAAAAAUGUGGCAUUUGUCUAUGGAUGACAAGAUUGAGAAUUUUCUUCAGAGUCAAAACAAUUUAAUGCCUAUAAGAGACUCUUAUUCUGAAAUAAAAAGAAUAACAGAUGGCUUCAACAAUAAAUUAGGUCAAGGAGGAUAUGGCUCUAUAUUUAAAGGAAAACUUCGAAGUGAUCAACUUGUUGCAAUAAAAUUGUUAAACAAAUCAAAAGCUAACACCCAAGAUUUCACCAAUGAAGUUGCAACUAUUGGAAGGAUUCAUCAUGUUAAUGUGGUAAGACUUAUUGGAUUUUACGUGAAGGGAUCAAAACAAGCUCUUGUAUAUGACUUCAUGAAGAAUGGGUCCUUGGAUAAAAUUAUAUUUUCAACUGAAAAUAACACUUUGAGUUGAGAAAAAAUGUUUGAGAUUGCAUUGGGAGUGGCUCAAGGUAAUGACUAUUUACAUAAAGGCUGUGAAAUGCAAAUUUUUCACUUUGAUAUCAAGCCACAUAACAUUCUUCUAGAUGAGAAUUUUACUCCAAAAGUUUCAGAUUUUGGCCUCGCAAAUUUGUAUUCAGUGGAUGAUGAUAUUAUUUCUCUCACAGCAGCACGAGGUACGCUAGGAUAUAUGGCUUCUGAAUUGUUUUACAAAAAUAUCAGAGGUAUAUCAUAUAAAGCUGAUGUUUAUAGUUUUGGAAUGAUGAUAAUGGAAAUUAUCGGAAGGAGAAAAAAUUUGAAUGCCUCUGCUGAACAUUCAAGUCAAAUUUAUUUUUCAUCAUAGAUUUUUGAUCAAUUAGAUGAAGGAGAUACCAUGGAGCUUGGAGAUGUGACAGAAAUUGAAAACAAAAUUAUGAGGAAAAUGGUAAUAGUAACCUUAUGGUGCAUACAGAUGAAGCCCACAGAUCGUCCUUCAAUGAGCAAAGUCUUGAAGAUGCUUGAAAGUGAAGUUGAGCUCCUUGAAAUGCCUCCCAAGCCUUCUUUCUCCGGAAAUAUCAACUAAAGAUAGUAAAAAUUCUCCCUGCACACGUGGCAAUCGGCCUUCCUCAGCUACCUCGUGAUUUUCGUCGUUGGGACACCACUCAACAUCGUGAUCUUGCUAAAUCUGAUGCCCUUAAGUCGAUUACUUUUUCUGUAUUUAGUUUUUUGAGUGGUACGUAGUUUUUGUUUCCACCGAGAUCUAGCAGGCAGUGUUUGUAUUCUCUUUACCACCUUGGUUUGUUUUGUUUCUGCUACUUCUCUAUUUCCCUGUAUGCGACCUUUGAUGAAAUAAAUCAUUUCCUCACUUAUAAAAAAAUUGCAAGAAAAUGUAAAUUUUUUCCCUUAUUUUAUAAAAAGAAAAUGUGUUAUAUCUUAUAUUAUAUUUUUAUGUACCUAUGUAUCUAUAGUAUUAGUUGUUUAAACUUUUUGGGUGUAAUUCAUUUUCAUAGAUAAUUAACAGCUUUUAUAAAAGUGCAGUCUUUGUCACUAUAUAUGCAUGUAAAUCUCUCUUUAACUGCAAUUGUUUUGCCCAAAAUACUUCUUAUAAAAGAUUGUACAGAGCAGCCAAAUUUGUAAAGUUCUAUCCUAAGUAAAAUAUUUUUAAUGACACAAAUUAAAAAAAUUAAAUGUCAAAUUUAUUGUGGUGUGUUUUUCCCCCUUUGACUCUAGACUCUAGCUUAUUAAAUUUUCAAAGGAAGAUUUGCUUUCAUUUGCAGCCAGAGAAUGAUUAGCAGAGCAACCAAGAUAAAAUUAUCUUAGUUCUUAUUUAAUCUUACUUUUUAAACUUUUUUAUACAUAUAAAAAAAUGCAAAAUAUGGACUGAUUAGUCCUUUUAGACUUGAUUGGUCGAAGGUGAAAUUUUAAGACUAAACGGUGAAUUUACAAGAUUGCUCGAAUGAUUUUAUUCCUAUUUGAGUGGAAAAUCAGCUAAGAGCUAUGAUUGGCUUGUGGUAAGGUGGUUGGCUUUAAUUAGUUGACUUGACUGACUUUUCGAACGAAGACAAGUGAGCAAGAAUAACCACACAUUUUCCCCAUGACAUAUAUAUGAGAAUUUCUAUGUGGAAAAAGCCAUAUAAAUCUUGGAGGUGAGUCCUGACAAAAAUAACUGCUCUAUUCCUCAUAGUUCCUAUCCUUGCUACACCCCUUGUAGAAAAAGCUUACCAUGCCACUCGGUAGGAGAUAGGGCAUACAUCUCCCUCAUCAUAUGUAUGCAUGCACGUCAAUAUAGGGUCAUGUGUAUCUCUUAAAUUGCAGGAUGAAGAUGAAUUCUUCGGUUUACAUUGAUGCUUUCCAUUGCACCAAUCGAUGUUCCUCUCCACGUUAUUUUGUUUCUUCAGUCAAAUUAUUCUCUGGUUAACAACUAAUGAAAAUGUAAGGAUAGAAUAUUCACGUAAUAUGUUACAUAAUUUAUACUAUAAUAUUUUAUCAUUGUUAACGGCACAAUUUGAUAAAAAGAUAAAAAAGAAAUCAUUUUAUUAUAUUAUGUGUAAAAUACAUGAAAAGAAAAGAUUACAAAUUUUAUUUGAUUACAUUACUGCAGAACUUACAAAAAUAAUUAUAGAAGCAUGGCUAAUGAUUAUAGGUAUUAUUUGGAUAGAUAUUUUUCUCAUUUUUCUUGUUUGACUGGUUGUAACUUGUCUUCAAAUUUUGAUAUCCACCAAAAAACUAUCCAAGAGCUUGAUUGUUUUAGAUAGUCAUUCAACAGCUUGACUGACUUUAUAUUUGUCUGUGCAACAAAUUUGAAAAUUUUUUUUAAAAAAGUCAAUAUUGAAUUUUAGACAUGCAUAAAUAGCAUAAUUUUUUAUUAUGCAGUGAAAAUAUAUGUAUAAAGUAUGAGGAAAGAUCUACUUAUACCGGUAUAAAAUUAAAUUAGUUUUACACUUUUUCAUGUCUUUUUAUUUCAUUUAUAUUUUGUUAAUCUAACCGUUCAUUUUAUGUUUUAUUCAUAUAAAUAUUCAUAGAUAGCAAAUUUCAAGUUAAUUGGAAAUGACUAACUACAUAUUUGAGAAAAAUAAAAUUUCAAUCAUUAAAUAUAUAUUGAAAAAAGGCAUUAUUCUCGGUUGAUGUAAUAAGAAUGUUGAAUUAAUAUGAGACUUUACGUGUAUGAUAAAUGCGAAUAAGUUGUUAAAUGUAAUGAUUCUAUUUGUUAAAAUAUUAAUUCCCUAAGAAGUUAUAGAAAAAUGUAAAGUACUUAGUUUUAGAGAUACAAGGCGAUUCCUCUUGGCCGGUAUAAAGUAUUGCUAUUUAGGCUUUUGUGUGCAAUUUUUUUUCAUAGCUAAUUGUUGUUGAAAGUGUGCAAUCUUUACUACUGUAUGCAUGUAAUAUUUUUGUCCAAAAUAUUAGCAAAAAAAAUGUUUUGAACUGUGAACUCCGUAAAAGUUCUAUACAAAAGGAUUUUAAACAACAAUAGUUAAAGAAAAAAAAUAAAUAAAUGAAAAUUUAAUUAUUAUAGUGUGUUUUUUCCACUUGUUCAAAGUAAGAUUUGAUUUCAAUUGCAGCCCUAGAUAUAAUCAGCAAAGCAAUGAAGCUAACAUUAUCCAAAGAUUUAAUGUUUCUCGUUAAACUUUUUUAUAUAUAAUUCUCCAAAGAAAAAUACAGUUUUAUACUUAAAAAAUAAAUGUAAAAUAUGAAAUUGAUCAAAUUUUUUCAGAAUUAUUAUUUUAUAUAUCUUGAAAUUUUGAAAUUCCAAAAUUUAUAAUAUUGUUUAAGUCAUAUUAUAUAUAUUAUUGAGGGUUUAUAGUAAUAUCCCUACUGUGUAGAUUUACUUGGAUGAAUUGCAAAGAUUUCUUUUCCAUCAGUGCCGCUACGUACCAAUUUGUUAGGUACACGGAUUUUCUUCUUUCUUGUUUGUUUGCGUGGAAAAUCAUCAAAAAGCUCUAUGACAGGCUUGUCGUUAAAGGUGUUUUGCGGGUUGGGUUUAAUUAGUUGACUGACUUUUCAAAAGAAGACUUGGUUUUAACAAUAAAUGUAAGAACUGCUUCACUUGCCUCUAUCAAAACGAGGACCUUAAUCUCCCACUGAAACUUUAGGAUGCUUAGCGUCAUACUUCCAUUACUUUGCCUCUUGGUUUGGCUUCAGUGCAAAUCUCCAAUCCAGUCGUUACAAAAAAAGACAAGUACUGUGGCUUUUCUUUCUGUGGAAACAUUAACAUCACUUACCCUUUUCGAUUAAAAAACCAGCCUCGUAGUUGUGGUUACAAUAGGUUUGAACUAGUGUGCCAGAAUAACCGCACCAUUUUCCCCAGGAAAUAUGGGAAUUUCUAUGUCCAACACAUCUCUUAUAGUGACGAAACCAGCCGACUUUUAGACGAGAGUCUUGGCAACGACAACUGCUCUAUUCCUCAUAGUACCUAUCCUCGGUCCACCCCUUCUGCAAAAAAACUAUAUCCCUGGCGUACCUUUUCAUGGGAAGAAAGAAAUUUCUAUCAAACUACCCCUGAAUUUAGCGUCAUGUAUCUCAUAAAUUGCACGAUGCAGAUCAACUACUCUUCCGUUUAUAUCGAUGCUUUUCGUUGCACCAAUACCCCUUCCUCCUCUCAACCUCCGUACUUUUACUUUUUGGAUGAAAAUACAGCACCGUCUGAUUUCCAUGAGUCAUGCACUGUUGAAGCCCAAGUUCCAAUCAUGGUUGCCAGUAUCAUCGGCCUCUCUACUUUUGAUAUUUACACAAAGCUGUUAACGGGAUUCCAACUCUCAUGGUUCACUUCCUCUUAUGAUUAUGUUUGGCUGCGGUGGGACUCAAUUGUUAACGUGUGAGGAUUUUUAAGUAUUCCGCAAUAUUUGGUGUUGUUUCGUUUUUGAAAAAUAUUUAUUAUUAUUAAUUUUUUUUGGAUCGUAAUAUUUAUUAUUUUUAGCAUACAUAAAUAUGAUAAAAAAACAAAUAUCAAAAUAUUUAGUUUUGAAUUCUUUUAAACUACUUUUUUAAUUAUGUGUAUAAAUUUGUAUCUAAAAUUUAAACUCGAUAUUUUAAUGUAAAAUUUAAAGAGAAGGAAUUAAGACAUUUUCAACACUAAAAGUGCGCAUAUCAUUUGCCUUAUUAAGGAUUAAUGGUUUUGAUGUGCUUUUUUGAAUAUUAAUUAUAGAUUGCUAUUCUUGCUCAAGCUGUGGUCGGUUCUGCCGAAGAUACUUGUACAAGGCAACAUAGCUUUUUUUGAACCAGAUUCUAUCGAUGGAUUUAGUAAAUGUAUUCUUUCGGUUCUGAGUUCAUUAAUAUUUUGAUUAUUAUUGGAUUUGCCUUUACUUUGAUAGAAUCUAUUUUCAUUUAUUUUCUGAUUUGGUAAUAUCUUUGCAGGAAUCCAGAUUCUUUGUGUUGCAAUAACAGGUACUAAAUUCUAUACUUAUUUAUUUACUCUUAAAUUCUACAAUUAUUAUAAUGUAUGACAUCAAUAAAUAUAUUAUUAUAUAAAUGGAUUAAAAAAUUAUUAAAUUAUUUAAAAAAUUCCUAAACUAUUUUACAACAAUUCCAAUAAGCUUUUCUUAAUUUUUAUUGCAUUCAAUCAAGCUAUUAUAUUUUUAUUUUGAACCAAAUAAACCCUUCUAAGUAACAGUUAACUAAUGUUAUUAGUUCAAAUGUCACUUGUUAUUUCAUACUCAUGUGACAUUGAUAUGAUGCUGACAUGGAGGAUGAAAAUGCCACAUAACCAUGUCAUAAUGCCAUAUACUCUGAUAUGUCAACAUAAUAUAUCCAUGUCAUAUGAUAUAAAAUAACAAAUGGUAUUUUGAUUAAUAACAGUUAGUUAACCAUUAGUUAUAAUGACUUAUUUGGUUCAAAAUAAAUGUUUAAGAGCUUGAUCAUACACAAUAAAAGAAUGAGAGUUUAUUUGAAUUUUUCUAAAUAGCUCAAGAAAUUUUUAAGUAUUAUGCAUUUUUGUGUGUGCGUGUGUGUAUAUGUACCAGUGUGAAAUUAAUUAAAUUUACACCUUUUCAUAUUUUUUAUAAGAUUUAUAUUUUGUUAAUUUAACCGGUGUAUUCCAUAUAUACUCAAUUUACAUAGAUCAUGCAUAAAAAAUUUUAAAUCAAUUGAAAAUAUCUAAUUAUUUGUAUAAUAAUAAUAAAAUUUUAACCAUUAAAUAUAUAUUUAAAAAACAAUAUUCUCUACCAAUGUGAUAUGGAUAUUGCACUGACUUGAAACUUUUUAUGUACGAUUGGAUGCAAAUAAAGUUAGCUUGCUAAAACUUAAUUGUAUAUGAAAUUAUAAAAUGGUGUAUAUAUAUAUAUAUAUAUGAGUAUUGCAUAUAUGUAUAUGUAUGUAUAAAGAGAUUCAAUAAAGGAUAAAAUAAUUAAAUAAGAGAAGAUCUACUAUAAAUUAUUCAUAAAUAAUAUUGAACUACAUUAAUUAGGUUUUUUUAGUAAGGUAUUUUUAUUUUGUUACGAUGUUUUUUGGUCAAAAUAAAAAUUAUGUCCAAAUUUAACAUUUUACUUUGGUGAUAGACCAAAUUAUGAUCAUAUUUAAAUGAGAAUAAUUGGCACUAUACUUUUAAAUUGGUUAAAAAUGAUCAAAAGUUAUGAAAUAAACUCAAAAGUACAAUAAUGAAAGUUACACUCAUUCAAAAAUGAAUAGUAAAUUUAAUCCAUCAUUUUUUUUAAAAGGUGAAUUUUUAUUAACCUCAACACUAUCAUGCCAUUUUGAUUCUCAAGCUUAGAUUGCAAGAGACUCUCAUGACAUAAAUAGUUAGUAAGCAGCCUGUACAAUUUCCAAAAAGAAUAUGCUACUCAAUAAGAUUUUGGUAGCAACUCAGGAUAAAGAAACUAACGUACCUUAAGCAGAUUGGUGGUAAAUUUGAACCUUAUCUCAAAUUAUUCUAUGAAGUUUGUUUGUGAAAAUAUGGCAGCUAGCACAUGCCCAAAUUAAAGUUGUAAAUAACAUAUACAUGUUCUAUAAUCAUGUUUUCCAACUAAUUGAUUUACAUAUUGUUUUGUAUUUUUUUUUUUUUGAGAAACAGGAAUUCUUUUGCUAAGAACUUUUUUGGGAAUAAUUUGCUUGAUUGUGCUGGUUAGACGAAAAUUAAAAAGGAGGCAUUUGUCGAUGGAUGACGUGAUUGAGAAUUUUCUUCAGAGUCAAAACAAUUUAAUGCCUAUAAGAUAUUCUUACUCUGAAAUAAAAAGAAUGACUGAUGGUUUCAAGAAUAAACUUGGUCAAUGAGGAUAUGGCUCUGUGUUUAAAGGAAAACUUUGACGUGGUCAACUUGUUGCGAUAAAAUUGUUAAACAAGUCAAAAGCUAACGGCCAAGAUUUCAUCAAUGAAGUUGCAACUAUUGGAAGGAUUCAUCAUGUUAAUGUGGUAAGACUUAUUGGAUUUUGCGUGAAGGGAUCAAAACAAGCUCUUGUAUAUGACUUCAUGAAGAAUGGGUCCUUGG